RNAcentral lists this ribosomal RNA (449 nucleotides) under uncultured bacterium. RNAcentral describes it as "bacterial SSU rRNA". It matches the Rfam family "Bacterial small subunit ribosomal RNA", at positions 355 to 825 of the family's 1533-position model. The record is from RNAcentral.
UGGGGAAUAUUGGACAAUGGGCGAAAGCCUGAUCCAGCCAUGCCGCGUGAGUGAUGAAGGCCUUAGGGUUGUAAUGCUCUUUUUGGCGGGGACGAUAAUGACGGUACCCGCAGAAUAAGCCCCGGCUAACUUCGUGCCAGCAGCCGCGGUAAUACGAAGGGGGCUAGCGUUGUUCGGAAUUACUGGGCGUAAAGCGCACGUAGGCGGAUCAGCAAGUCAGGGGUGAAAUCCCGGGACUCAACCUCGGAACUGCCUCUGAUACUGCUAGUCUAGAGUCCGGAAGAGGUGGGUGGAAUUCCUAGUGUAGAGGUGAAAUUCGCAGAUAUUAGGAAGGAACAUCAGUUGCGAAGGCGGCUCUCUGGACUCAAACUGACGCUGAGGCACGAAAGCGUGGGUAGCGAACAGGAUUAGAUACCCACGUAGUCCCUGAGCGGGCUGGCAAGGCGCAU